Non-coding RNA from Meleagris gallopavo (turkey), 1313 nucleotides. Lineage: Eukaryota; Metazoa; Chordata; Aves; Galliformes; Phasianidae. The record is from RefSeq and is a predicted model, not a curated record.
GGCAGUACUGCAGUCAUGCUUUCUGUGACCUGUGUAUAGCAGUGUUGUGGUUUUGCAUGUGAUGGGGAAGAAAGGAGAGAAGUCCUCCCUGGCCUCUUUCACCCUCCCAUUUUUUGGGGAGAAGAAAAACAAAAACAGUCCAAUUAAGAAAAGAAGAGAUAACAAAUUGACAAGAAAUGGUAAAAGAAUAUAAGAUAAUGAUGUAAAAAAAGGAGUUAAAGGUAAUAAAUCAAACAAAUGGGAGAAAAGGAUUUUCUGACUACUAAACUGCACUCACCUGAAACAAAGAUGUCAGUCCACCCCCAUCACCCAGAAUUGGAGAUCGUGUAGAGAGUGUUGGAGGCUCCUGGGAACUGAGUUCCCAAGGAGAUACAGAUCUUCGGUUAGCUGCUCCACCUGGGUCACAGAGGCCAACACUAGUUUGAGAUGACGCUAAGUCAGAAGUGGAUGAAAAAUUUUUCAGACUGGCACUGGAAAGAAAGUUUGAUUGGUGCCUGGGGGCCAGGAAGAUGGUGCAGCUGGCAGACCUCACUGGAGCACCAGGGAGAGAGCAGCAGGAGGAAACAUACAAAUAUACCAGCAUAUACCAAGAUGUCUCCAAAUACACAAGAAGAGAAGAACAGAAGUUACAUACAAUUUCACAGUGUAAAAACUGCUCACGUUCUGGAGAGGCUUGGACAAUGAGUCUCGUUCUGUCACUCAAAUCACAGGGCUGAAAACCAGAGCUGUUCCCCACACUGACCUUCACUGGGAUAUCAAUGUAUGUAACAGAUGGCCACUACCAGCAUGUGCUGUAUGAUUCUGACACUUCACAAUAAGCACAGGUGCCAAGUGCCAACCCUCUGUGCUAGUUCUAGGCAGAUUUGGCCUCUGGGAAUGAUACUGAUUUUCUCCAGUCAGAAGAGUCAGCACCAGCAGUUUCAGCUGAAUUAUCACCAGAGACUUGGUGUGAAACCAUCUUCCUCUUUUGUUCAUUAGGGGAAUUUCGUCUGAGCAUUAAAGAAUGAUGAAAUUCUCAAAAAGUGAACCGAGCUCUUUACUCUUUAACUUCUGACAGUGGAGUGCUUAAAGAGUACUCUAUAAAGUGUGGGUUAAUUUUACCCGAGAUAUAACUAUUUUCCACAAAUGUUCUUGCUGAAAUUGUGAUAAUUUGGUGGAUUAAUUCAAUCCUUUAACUUUGCAGCACAGUUAGUAUGAUCACAAGCUGUCUCUUCAACCCAUACUGAUGAAUUGUUUUUACAACAGGCAAGAUAAUUGUCAGAAUUAAGAAUGACAUUGUUGUCAAUGAUGAGACAAAUAAAAAGGAGUUUCCC